Molecule: ribosomal RNA, 253 nt
Filed under: uncultured bacterium
Lineage: Bacteria
Description: partial 16S ribosomal RNA
Rfam family: Bacterial small subunit ribosomal RNA
Source: RNAcentral
UACGGGGGGGGUAAGCGUUGUUCGGAAUUACUGGGCGUAAAGGGCUCGUAGGCGGCCAACUAAGUCAUACGUGAAAUCCCUCAGCUUAACUGGGGAACUGCGUGUGAUACUGGAUGGCUUGGAUUUGGGAGAGGGAUGCGGAAUUCCAGGUGUAGCGGUGAAAUGCGUAGAUAUCUGGAGGAACACCGGUGGCGAAGGCGGCAUCCUGGACCAAUAUUGACGCUCAUGUGCGAAAGCGUGGGGAGCAAACAGG